CAAAACUCAAAAAAUGAUCUCAGUUCGGACUGUAGGCUGCAACUCGCCUACACGAAGUUGGAAUUGCUAGUAAUCGUGGAUCAGCAUGCCACGGUGAAUACGUUCCCGGGUCUUGUACACACCGCCCGUCACACCAUGGGAGCUGGUAACACCCGAAGUCAGUAGUCUAACCGCAAGGAGGACGCUGCCGAAGGUGGGAUUAGCGACUGGGGUGAAGUCGUAACAAGGUACC
RNAcentral lists this ribosomal RNA (232 nucleotides) under uncultured bacterium. Its description in RNAcentral is "partial 16S ribosomal RNA". It matches the Rfam family "Bacterial small subunit ribosomal RNA", at positions 1268 to 1500 of the family's 1533-position model. The record is from RNAcentral.